GUGGCAGCCAAGCGUUCAUAGCGACGUUGCUUUUUGACCCUUCGAUGUCGGCUCUUCCUAUCAUUGCGAAGCAGAAUUCGCCAAGUGAUGGAUUGUUCGCCCACCAAUAGGGAACGUGAGCUGGGUUUAGACCGUCGUGAAACAGGUUAGUUUUACCCUACUGAUUCUUCGUUAUUGUAAUAGUAAUUCAACUUAGUACGAGAGGAACCGUUGGAUCAGAUAUUUGGUAAUGCAGUUAGUUGAGAAACUAGUGCUGCAAAGCUAUCAUCUGUAGGAUAAUGACUGAACGCCUCUAAGUCAGA
This 302-nucleotide ribosomal RNA is filed under the name uncultured Symbiodinium. Its description in RNAcentral is "partial Eukaryotic large subunit ribosomal RNA". It matches the Rfam family "Eukaryotic large subunit ribosomal RNA", at positions 2837 to 3139 of the family's 3401-position model. Lineage: Eukaryota; Dinophyceae; Suessiales; Symbiodiniaceae. The record is from RNAcentral.